Metopolophium dirhodum (rose-grain aphid) is the source of this 809-nucleotide RNA transcript. RefSeq lists it as uncharacterized. The record is from RefSeq and is a predicted model, not a curated record. NCBI's taxonomy places the organism in Eukaryota, Metazoa, Arthropoda, Insecta, Hemiptera, Aphididae. The transcript is spliced from 3 exons.
UUAAAUAAGUGUUUAAUCAACGUGCAGAAAACAACGUCUACUCUAGAAAUUAGUAAUAUGUCGUUAUUUAAUGAAACUAACAUCUGUGCUUGUGGUAAAAUAAAAGGUUUAAUGAAUAGUACAAAUUGGCUAAGACAUACUAAAUCGUGCAAAAAACGAAAAUCAGUACUUUGUACUGCAAAACUGAAUACAUUUUUUAAAUCUUCUAGACUAUCAAAUGAUGUUUCUGACAAAGGUAUGAGUACUUUUUGUUUAUUAUAAUUUAGUUAUAAACAAGUAUUAUAAAAUAAACUACUUUUAACUAGCUAUUUCUACAACUCGCUCUUAUAUUAAAUCUUACAUUAUUGAAACUGUAGGUACCUAUAAUUUUGUUUUUAUUAAUAUUUAUUUUUUCAGUUGACAGUUCUAAUUUGAAUACUGUCAGUAGCAUAUCAAAAUCAUCAAUAGAAAUGGAUGUUCAAGGUUCAAAUACAAAUAAUACUAUAUUAUUGCCUGAGAAGUUUAAGAUUAUAGUUCCAACAUUGGAGGUUGAUUUAAAGUCGAACGAGGAGUCAAAUGAAAAUGAAUCUGAAGUAGCUAUAUCUACUACACUAAUGGCUGAACCAAGUAAUUUAUAUAUUAUAUUUUUACUAAUAAGUUAUACCUAUAUUUUAUAAUUUUUUUUUUAUAUUUCUGGGGCUUGGGUCAAAAAGGGCCAAUGUCACUUUUAAUCACUUUUGGGAAAUCAAGAAUAAAACAUAUUUUUUUUUUAAAUAAUUUUUAUUAGUUUUAUUUUUCAUUGUACAAGUAAUUGUUUUUAUGAUGGAUGU